Molecule: long non-coding RNA, 1332 nt
Filed under: Homo sapiens (human)
Lineage: Eukaryota; Metazoa; Chordata; Mammalia; Primates; Hominidae
Description: HSALNT0228855
Source: RNAcentral
AGGAGGCCUGAUCUGACUGGGUCCUGCCAUGAGGUGACAGCAGAGCCUGAUCUGAUUGGAUUCUGGAUCCUGCCGUGUGAUACCUGCUUCUCCAUUCAGUCCCCACUCCUUGGUCUGAGCACUUAGGGUGCCCCCAGAAGUUGCAAGCUUGGUUCAUCUGAGCAUGCUUAGGUUACAUGAGCAGAGGGUUUGUGGCAGCUGAGAAACAAUUGACAACUUUGUUACAUAAAAGUUGAACCAAAUUGUUCAUUGGACAGGCUUGCCCCAGAGGGACAAUGAGGUUAUAAUUUUUCCUUAAACUUGAUGAAGAACCUACUAGAUGAAUUUUUAAAAAUGAGUAAUUGAUGGGAUUUAAUUCUUUUAACCUUAAACACUUAGGUGUACUUGCCAGGCUCCAGAGACGCACAGUUAUAUUGGCCUUCCUUCCUGCACCCCCAUGGAGCCCCCAAACUAAUGAGAAUUAGAGUUGUAUAAACAAAUAAUUACUAUAUAAUGUAAUAAGUGGAAUCUAUAUGAUGAAGGGCACAGAGAAGAGAAUGGAGACUUUCCUGGUGAAAAUCGGGACAGGAGGAGGUGACAGUGGAGCCCUGUCUUAAAGAAUGAGAGGAAUCUUCAUCUUUUGGAAGAGUGUUACAUGCCAGUCUGAAAAGCAUCUGGAGGCAUGAUUGUUUUAGGUGGGGGAAAUUGGGACCAAGACUUAAGGCCACUGGGCUAAAUUCUGGUCACAGGAUUUGGCCCCGGACCCAUCUACACCAUAUCCCAGUCCAGGGAAUACGCUCAGCUUUCCCAUAGAUUCAAGGUGGAUCUCACACCUGCCUACCUAUGCUAGGGGCAGAAAUACAAACCCACCUUUCCCAGGAUAAGAUGGGCUGCUGGUCUCCUUCCUGUUUAGUCCCCUUCCUAGGUAGACAUACGCAAUCUCCUCACCCUCUCACCCCACCUCCCAAUGUUCAGCACCAGAGAUCUGAAAAAUCAACUUAGGUCAAUAAAUAGUUGUCUCAGUGGGGCUCCUCACAUUGUGACAAUGAACUUUGCCUUUAGUUUUCUGGUAAAUACUGAGAACAUGUUGAUUUUAUCAUUUGGGGGGAAAAAGCAAGCCCCCCCCAAACAACUUAUAACACAUUUUAUUCCAUUUUUCUAGUGUGAAAUGAAAAUAUGAAUGUGCCUUCUAGGAACUGUAUUCCUAACUGCUUUUUAUUGACAACAGUGGCUUAAAUAAAUCAGCAAUUUAGUCUCUCAAAUCAAAGAAGUCUGGAGUCGGACAGUUAAGAAGUGGUGCAGCAGCUCCAUUAUGUUAUCAGGGACUCAGCCUCCUUUUAUCUUUCUGCCACA